AACGAACGCUGGCGGCAUGCCUAACACAUGCAAGUCGAACGAGACCUUCGGGUUUAGUGGCGCACGGGUGCGUAACGCGUGGGAACCUGCCCUUAGGUUCGGACUAACUCCCCGAAAGGGGUGCUAAUACCGGAUAAUGUCUUCGGACCAAAGAUUUAUCGCCUUUGGAUGGGCCCGCGUUGGUUUAGCUAGUUGGUAGGGUAAAAGCCUACCAAGGCGACGAUCCAUAGCUGGUCUGAGAGGAUGAUCAGCCACACUGGGACUGAGACACGGCCCAGACUCCUAGGGGAGGCAGCAGUGGGGAAUAUUGGACAAUGGGCGAAAGCCUGAUCCAGCAAUGCCGCGUGAGUGAUGAAGGCCUUAGGGUUGUAAAGCUCUUUUACCCGGGAUGAUAAUGACAGUACCGGGAGAAUAAGCUCCGGCUAACUCCGUG
This 433-nucleotide ribosomal RNA is filed under the name uncultured bacterium. Its description in RNAcentral is "partial 16S ribosomal RNA". It matches the Rfam family "Bacterial small subunit ribosomal RNA", at positions 29 to 507 of the family's 1533-position model. The record is from RNAcentral.